Molecule: ribosomal RNA, 492 nt
Filed under: uncultured bacterium
Lineage: Bacteria
Description: partial 16S ribosomal RNA
Rfam family: Bacterial small subunit ribosomal RNA
Source: RNAcentral
AGUGAACGCUGGCGGUAGGCCUAACACAUGCAAGUCGAACGGCAGCACAGUAAGAGCUUGCUCUUACGGGUGGCGACUGGCGGACGGGUGAGGAAUACAUCGGAAUCUACUUUUUCGUGGGGGAUAACGUAGGGAAACUUACGCUAAUACCGCAUACGACCUACGGGUGAAAGCAGGGGAUCUUCGGACCUUGCGCGAUUGAAUGAGCCGAUGUCGGAUUAGCUAGUUGGCGGGGUAAAGGCCCACCAAGGCGACGAUCCGUAGCUGGUCUGAGAGGAUGAUCAGCCACACUGGAACUGAGACACGGUCCAGACUCCUACGGGAGGCAGCAGUGGGGAAUAUUGGACAAUGGGCGCAAGCCUGAUCCAGCCAUACUGCGUGGGUGAAGAAGGCCUUCGGGUUGUAAAGCCCUUUUGUUGGGAAAGAAAAGCAGCAGGUUAAUACCCCGCUGUUCUGACGGUACCCAAAGAAUAAGCACCGGCUAACUUCGUG